Molecule: ribosomal RNA, 497 nt
Filed under: uncultured bacterium
Lineage: Bacteria
Description: partial 16S ribosomal RNA
Rfam family: Bacterial small subunit ribosomal RNA
Source: RNAcentral
GAUGAACGCUGGCGGCGUGCCUAAUACAUGCAAGUAGAACGCUGAAGGAAGGAUCUUGCUCUUUCCGGAUGAGUUGCGAACGGGUGAGUAACGCGUAGGUAACCUGCCUGGUAGCGGGGGAUAACUAUUGGAAACGAUAGCUAAUACCGCAUAACAGUAGAUGUUGCAUGAUAUCUACUUAAAAGGUGCAAUUGCACCACUACCAGAUGGACCUGCGUUGUAUUAGCUAGUUGGUGAGGUAACGGCUCACCAAGGCGACGAUACAUAGACGACCUGAGAGGGUGAUCGGCCGCCCUGGGACUGAGACACGGCCCAGAGGCCUACGGGAGGGAGCAGUAGGGAAUCGUCGGCAAUGGACGGAAGGCUGACCGAGCAAGGCCGCGUGAGUGAAGAAGGGUGUCGGAUCGUAAAGCUCUGUUGUAAGAGAAGAACGAGUGUGAGAGUGGAAAGUUCACACUGUGACGGUAUCUGAACAGAAAGGGACGGCUAACUACGUG